Long non-coding RNA from Cavia porcellus (domestic guinea pig), 7675 nucleotides. RefSeq lists it as uncharacterized. Lineage: Eukaryota; Metazoa; Chordata; Mammalia; Rodentia; Caviidae. The transcript has 4 exons. The record is from RefSeq and is a predicted model, not a curated record.
ACUCACUACUGCUAGUAGUGAACACAUGGUAGGGAUGGAAAUCAGGAUCUUGACAGACACGGUCACCCUCCAUUCCCGGGCAUGCUUAUUCACAAUGGCCAGGAUGCAGAGAUGCUGAUGGGGACAAGCAGGGUGGGAGAGAGACAAUCAAAGAGGAGUUCAGUGUUUUUGUCUGAAGCUCCUAGGAUAAGAUCUGCUUUUGUGUAAAAGAGAGCCUUCUCUGCCUGAAACAUCUAACCACCAGAAAGUGAUUCUAUCAAGUUUCCACAUGCAAGUGGCACUGCCUAGAAGUGUGCAAAAAAUAGCCCACUCCACCAAGUCUGGUGUAAUCCACAUACACCAAGAGUUCGGCCCCCUAUUAACAUAGCACGUGUGCUACUAAAGGUGGGAACAAUUGCACUAUGUUCUCUAAAUGUGCACCUGGGUGUGCAGUGCUUGUUAUUAGGGUAACACGUAAUUCACCAGUGUGCUGCAUUUUCCUGACCUCUUCAGCAUUAAGCCACUGGGAAAUGUGUCACUGACUUUUACCAUCCUAACCCCUGGGUUACAGAGUGAGUGAAGGCAGUAGGGAUUCACUGGGGCUGGGCCUUAGCUAUAAGGAAGGUAACAAGAGGAAAUGCCAUGGCUGGGAUCAGGGAGGGAGGAGGGAGCAUAUAGCAGCUGAACUAACAGCACUGUGAGUGUGUAGCCACGUCCCGUGGGAUUCAGCACAGCCAGCAUAGCUGUGCCUCAUCACUUAUAGGAGAAAGAAACUGAGACGAUCUUCAGGGGCACUUGAAUUUCAGGGAUUAUGCUCAGUCUUUGUUGUGUAGAAUCCAAAAUAUGAGUAAAGGAAAUACUGGCACUGCCUUCCCAUUUCCAGAGGAGCUGGUCAGUGGCAGUUGGAUGAUUUCCUCAAAUCCCUGGCUGAAUCAAGCCAGGAGCUCAGUGGCCCCAGGUGCUGUGGAUGGAGCUGCCCAGGAGCACCAGGCAUGGAGGCCACAGUGCCCAGGUGCCCAGCUGCCGGCCCAGAGGGAGAACCUGAGGCCACAUGGUCCUGUCCACUCUAGUUUACCUAUCACAGCUGGCACCUGCUAAAGGCCUCUCUUAUUCACAGUCUGCUCUCAUGAAAUCAUAUGAGCUGCACUUGUCUCUGGAUUUCUUCAUGUAGCUUUUCAAAGCCCACAAAUGCUUCACCUGAAACAGACAUUAACUGAUUUUAUAAAUGAAAUUUGAAAAAAAAAGUCCAGUUCUUCAUCUCAUUUACUUGUGUUUCUUCAGCACAUAUCUUCACGAUUUCUGCAUGAAGGUCUCCAUCGUCUGAUGCGCUCCCAGGCAUUCCUUCUUGUUUUGCUGAUGGCGAUGACAUUUCUACCUGCUGCUUUCCAUGCGGCAGGGUGGCAUGAAAUGCUGAGCUCAUAGCUGGCACUCUGCCCAUCAGCCAAAGGCCAGCAGUGGAAAAGCAAGGACACAGGGAGUGACUCGCCUCGAACCUUCCCAGAGGUGCUCCUCUUUACCGUGGGUCACUUCCAACAGGAGGCCAUCUCCAAGGCCUUGUGGGUCACUCUGCUUGCCUGGAGAUUUUGGGAACCUUCCAGGCAGUGGCCGUCAGCAUUUCCCAGCCUUUGGAGUAUUCCUUGUUUUCCAGAGCUAUGAGCAGCAUGUGUAGUCCCUUCUUCCACAAAACUGAUGUCCUUUUCCCAAUAAACUUGCAGAGAAGAUGGAGGUGUCCUGCACAAGAGGAACAGGCAUAGCACUCCUCUAAGGAGGAUGUGCCCUGACUCUGUGAUGGUCUGUGCCUGCAGAGUAAAGCCAUACGAGUGUCCCCAGGUGCGGAGGAGUCUGUGCUUCCUGUUGCUCAGCUCUGGCGGAUGAUGGUCCUCAUUCUUUCCUAGCUGAUGGCUCCCACCCCAGCUGCACAGAUAAAUUUUUGGAAUGUGGAGAAUCAGUCUACAGAGCAAAAUACACAGUAAAAAGAGCGAGAAGGACCCCUGGCCCACACUCUUCUGGGCUGGCCAUGCUGGGCAGCAUCCACUGGAAGGCUAUGUGCAGCCACAAACACCUCACUGAAGCAGGACCUGUGUACUUGUGAGUACAGUGUAACAUGUUCAUCAGACUAAUGUGAGAAAAAGAAAAUAUCAGCAUUCAAGGACAGCAGUUAUUCAAAUUGAUUCAAGAAAAUUUCUAAAAUACGAAUUAAAUACAAAGCAUUCCAUCCGCACUCCUACACACCUUUAAAGGGCUACGCUCAGGAGGCCUCCUCACCCACACGCCUGGUGUCUGCACCUUUGAGUCGGGACUUUGGGCCUUCACAGAGCAGAAGCCUUCAGAAAUACUAUAGUCCCUGGAGGUUGAUCUGGAGGGAAGGCCCAGCCUUGGCAGUCCUGUCUGCCACAAUCAGUUAGCCAAGAAAAAUCACUAAGAUCAGACACCAAGGAGACCAGCUCAAGGAGAGGAAAAUUGAAUUGCUUUUCAUAGAGUGAGAUGUGUUAGAGAUUUGUAGCCAUCUGCAAUCAGUCACAAGAAGUAUGCAAAAGUACAAUUGAAUAAGUUCCUUGCCUGGAGUAAAGAAUUUCAACUUAAUGCUUUCAGUAAUGGGCUUUUUAUGUAAAAUGGACAAAAAGAACUUUUGGCCCUGUAGGAAGCUGAAGUCUUCAUGCAGUGAAGCUGCUAGAGGGCCUGGCUGUUGGAAGGCUUGCUGACUAGAUGGCUUCUUUGCAGGAACCAUGUCUGUUGAAGAUCACAAGUGUGCAGGUUCUCACAAUCAGACAGAGCACCUUUGCAUCCAUCUCAGGCUGGUUUGCCAUGAUGGAACAGAAAAGAUCAUUCUACUGCCAGCCUAAUCCCGAUACCUCCCAGGCUGUGGAUGUUUUUAUCCACAAAGUAAAAUUAAUGGAAUGAUUUGAAGUGUGCACACACUGAUGAUUUCCUCACAAACACCGGUCUCUUAAUUUUAAUAAGUAUGCUUUUGAUACAAGCUAGCUUGAUGUCAUCUAUUUGUACUCUUGAAAAGAAUGAGUUCUUUGGUGUUAGAAACUUCCAUAAUUCUCAGCUCAAAAAUCAGUUACACAAUAAUGUGAGGCCAGCUGGCGACGGGGGUAUGGUUUUGUGUGUUAAUGACGUUUGGUUUCCGGGUUCUCCAGAACCCCCAGGCCUGGCUUCACAGAAGAACGCCUUUCCACACACCAGAGCGGCUGGGUGUGCGUGAUUCUGAGCAGCCUAUGGCCUAAAUUCCUUGCAAGCACGGUGGGUACGCGGGGGCCACAGUCAUGGCGCUGCUGGGGAGCGGCUGUGCGCAGGAACCGGGCUCCAUGUGCUUGCGCAGCCCACUUGGCACCGCGCAGGACCAGAAGUGGACUGUGGCGCAGGUCUGGGGCGCUCCCCCUACAGGAAACCAUGAAUGUGGUGCGUUGACCUCAGAAGUGUACUUGGGGUGACAUUUCCAUGUUUCUAAAUCUUUUUCUCCUGAGCGGAAGUUAUCAAUGAUACCUGUUCUAGCUAGGAAGAGUCACAUUCUUGUGCAAUUCAUUUUCGGAGCACAUUCUCUUAAAGACUGUUGGGAGCUGACGCGGUCCUUCUGAUCUUAUGUGGCUGGCUGCCCACGGUGUUCUCAGACGUGUGAAUGUGACGGCCAGUGUUGACAAAGCACGGAUAACCAAAUGCGAUUUUCAAAGGCCAGCCAAGAACAAAUGCUCCGAGACCUGGCGAGCUCAUCACACGAGGCCUGACUCAGUGCGUGGGGCCCAGGGCUCGCACGUCUGCUCCGCUCUUUUGGGAAGGCGCCUCUGCAGAGGGUCUGUGUGCUUGGAAAAGUCAGCUCAGACGCUUAGGACGCAACUUCGAGGCGUGUAGUGCUCCUGACAAAACCCGAAGCGCGCCUUCCUCCAGUGUGCGGUUUGCACCUUUCAGAUUCAAGUCUAGUUUUCAAGGCGGGAACCCUACUUUGCAAAUUAGUAGAGAAGAAAACCUCUACUUGGGUGGACGUUUGCUUUGUAAGUGCUGAGAACUCCAGCAUCAAAGGACGAGCACAGGUCUCCCUGUGGUCUGGAAGAGUAAAGAUCACUGAAUGCCUGGUCUGUGCCAGCUGGGACAGAUGCCAAGCUCCCUUCUACUCUGCCAGCACCGUGCAGGUGGUGAGGUGUUGGUGCAACUUUAUGUCUUGUGUCCCGUUGAGCGCCCCACCUGUGCCCUCUUUGGGCUUUUAUGACAGUGCAUUUUAGUCAUUUUCCAGAGGCUUGGGAUAAUUAAUUUUGCUAUUUAACUUGUGCCAGUAUCUUCUUAUCUUUAAAAUUUGCCUCAAGAUAUUUUUUCAACUUGCCAUAAAAUACACAAUGUGAAGAUCCCUAUUGUAUAAACUUGGAGAUUUAUGACCUAGUGGGGAGGUACUAAUUUAGGCAGGAGAACUCCCAAGGUUUCUCAGCGAUUGAGUAACGUAGACAUUAAUCAGCAUCUGGUAAGCAGUGGCAACGCACUGGGCAGGGCUGAGAGAUUUAUGUGCAGUAUCUCAUUUAGUCUCCUGUGCAUCAUGGUGAGUCCAUUGUGGAUAUUACCCUAAUUUUGCAGUUGAGGAAACAGACCUACAAAUGCCUCACUCAGGUAGCAAAGUUCAGAUGUAAUCUGUAACCUCUGGACUAGAACCGUCCUUCCUUCUGUUCAGUUCCAGCCCCCUAGGUGUUCUGAAGCCCAAUCAGGGUCCUUGCCCAGGAACGUGGCCGUGCAGCUCACGUGGAAACCUGAACUGUGGAUUCCCCUUUCUUUGGAGCUGAGUAACAAAGUUGGAUCUGAGAUCCUGGAGUAGGGACAAAGGGCUUGCGGUUUGUGUGCACCUGACAUAUACAGCAGGAAUGAAGGGCGCUGAGGUCAGGUGUGAAGUUGGUCAGGGCUCCAGUGCAAACAGAUGUCUGAAGGACACUCCAUGCUCAUUUCUCCUUUUCUUUUCAUUUUGACAAUUUUGAAGUUAAUUCUAAUUUUUAAAGUAGUUUCAUUUCUCCUGCAUGAUGAAAGCAGAGGAGAAAAUUUUAAUAAGAGCAUGUUUUUAAUUUGGAUAUGUAAAAAUAGAAAUAUAGUAUGCAAUACUCAACUCUAAUAUGCAUGAUUAUAACAGUGACAAAAACCUAUCCUUGUUGCUAUAGUAACUAGGGAUUUCUUUUCAUAUCUUUCAUUUUUUCUAUCGUGGAUUGAGGAACAAUGGCAAUUGUCUAGGAGGUUUCCUUUCACAAAGGUUUUUUCUCAAGCCCUCAGCAUCUCCACCUUGUGUAGCUCCACUACAGAGGUCUGCUGGGUACCAGAAGUGGCUUUGAGGGCUGUCAGCGCCUGAAGCAUGUAUGGAGUUGAAGGCUGUGUGUAAAUCAGGUGCAUCACAGCACUACCUUGAACGUUGUUGCACUGCAAAAAUAUUCCCAGACUCCAAGGGUUGAGGACUGCAUCCCCCAUGUGACAGUGCUGAGAGAUGGAACUCAGGAGUGACGAGGCCAUGAGGAUUUCAUCCUGGGAACAGGUUUCCACUUCCUCUUGUGGUGAGCCUCGUCCUGCUGUCUGUGCCUCAUCCCCUUUUGCAGAUCAUGAGGAGACUACCUGCCACGAGCAUCCUGGACAGAUGUUGGCCCUGAUUGCUAACAUCAGUCUCCAGGACUGUGAGAAAUUGGCCUCCUUCUUCAUGGAUUCCUGCAUCAGGUGUCCCCUUACAGCAGCACAGGAGAGAGGCAAGAAGACAUCAAAAUGGAUUGAAAGGUCUUCAUGCAGUCACCUGCACCCCAUCACAUUCAGGGGACCGGGGUACCAAGGGUAAAUGGGCAGUCACACAAAGAUACACAGUAAAAAGUAAAAAAUGUAGACAAUGCCUUCAAACAUAAAGAAACUGAAAUCCUGUGAAUUGAACUAUACCUGGCACCCUUGUAUUCUCCGUGAGGAAUCAGCCCCAACACUGAGGAAAGACAUGACUGGAGCCAUCUUGUGGUAUGCUCCUGUGGUACCAUUAAUACCCCAGCAGUUUCCCUUCAUCCUAAAUACCACCAAGCAGCUGGGCAGGACUCUGGGGACCUUGGCAAGGAGGUUUGUGGGAGGCUCCAGCCACAAAGCUGGCCCUGUGGCUCUGUGUGCAGGUGCGAUCCUGCCUCUGCUUUCAGUGCUGGUUCUGUGGGAACCAGUUCCCAGCAAGCAUGGCCCCACCGUGUCUCUGCACAGGUCAGUGGUUGGACCAGCAGGUACCUGAGAGCCCUGCAGUGCUGUGGUGGGAACCCAGCCGAAGUCCUCAGGGGCUGAACAGUGAUAGCACUUGCUGACAAGCCUCCUGCUUUCCCUGUUCACCUCCUCUAGGGAACAAGAGGACAACAAGUCCUGUACCACAUGGCAAGUGCUGGACACAGUGGACAGCAGUCCAGUGCCCCUGUUGGCUCCAAGGCAGCAGCCCCUCGCUGGAGCCUGAGGACGGUCCACCUCCUGAGGUCUGUGGGAAGGAGGUGCCGCCAUCUGCACUGCCUGUUGUCUUUCCUCAGCCAGAACUCAGCAGUGGGGCACUCACAGAACUGUAGCUCUUUCCACACAAAUCUGAGCCUUCAUAGGGAGGUCCCUGGGGCUGGAAUGCACCAGGCAGUAUGCACAGGAAAGGGACACAUGCUGGCGAAACAGCAGGUAGAAACCACGUGCAAGCGACCAGAGAUGGACUGUGGCAUAUGCUCUGUGUUGUGCUCCCUCCCUGCAAAGCCUGGCACCUCCUCAGUGCCUCCUCAGAGUGCCCCCAAACAGCGAGAAACAGGGAGGCCCCUCACUGUUCACUUUGGAAAAGUGAGGUUAAAAAAUACUUUUUACUUCUCAUUUUCAAGGAGAAAGGAAGUUCUUUGUCCUUUAAUUUGGAAAGACAAUAUAUAAAUCUUAAGUGAUUUUUCUUUAAUCCCACAGAGAAUUCAUUUCCUAGGUCCUCAUAAAAGUCUCUAUUUCUAGUAAACUUGGGUGCAAAACUCCCCUGGAAACCAUUAACCUUGCCCGGAGCAGGCAUUUUCAAAGAAACAGGCACUCUGGAAGGAGAGCUAGUGUGUAAUGACUGCACCUGGGUGUCAGGUCUUUUUCCCUUUAGUCUUUCAAGUUUGUAGCGAUAACGAGGUCUGCGCCACAGAAAAUGUUCUGGAGAAAAGUAACCUCCAAAGUUAUUACUAUUUCAUAUAUGGAAAGACCAAUAGCUUUCAUGUUUUUCUAAUUUUGUUUCUUUUGUAAGUUUGUUUAUUCCAAAUUAUGGUUCUGUUCUGCAGAUUAACAAAGACAAAAGGGAUUCAGCUACCUGAGUCAACUGGAGACUCUUUUGUACAAUAGGUUUAAAUAUAAAACACAUGGCUGUUUUGUCAUGUAAAUUUUUUGUAAAUAUUUUAAAAGUUCUUGGCAAUUAGAGAACAAAACUGAGAAUACCAAAAGAAAUCAUGUGUCUGGUCUCUGUCUAUCAUGGGGCUAGAGAACGAGAACCUGCAGCUAGCAUUCAUCUGCACAGGAACUGAAGUUUGCAGAAGCAGCCUGCGGCCAGGGCGGAGAUGGCCUCUUCACAGCUCAGGAAGGGCGAGUGUUCCUAGGAGCCUGAAAGAUGUUAAAUAGUCCCUAGAUGUCAGUGUUUCUCAGCCACAGCCCUCCAUCAGGCCACCCAAAGAGCAUGCCUUUGUGUGGGUGGCAGUUUACCUUCUGCAAGUGCAAACUUUCUUGGAAAUGUAAGCUA